UCAGAACUCACUGAGUGAUCUGAGAGAGAAGAAGAAAGGGGGAGGGGAAGCUGAAAGGCUUCUGAAGAGGGAGGAAAAGGGAAGAGGGUAGGCAAACUUGAUCCAUUAGUUAUCUAAUAUACCAUCAAAAAUACACCCUCAAAUUAUCAUCGAGUACAGUGUGCAAUAGUGGGUGACAAAUCAGAAUUAAACUAACUACCCCUGGGCAGUCUUAAAAAAAUCUUCAACUGUGAUUGGUAGAUGUAAAUUUAGGGAGACACAGGAAGUGAUGCAAAGGAAGUGUCUUUAAAAGGAGCUGUCACUUCCUGUGAGAGACAGGUCUUCAUUCUGUGGAAGUAGAGACUGGAGACUUCUUCAUUCUUUGGAGUGGAAGCUGAAGGAAAAAUCUGCUGACUGGACCUGAGACCCUAUUCCUGAUGAGACUGUUGGACUGACAAGUGAAUGUAAGUUCCUUGAAGGAAGAAAUCUUUCCUUUUUUGUCUGUAUCCUCAGUGACUAACUCAGUACCUGACACAUACCUGAAAAAGAGCCUUGCUAAUUUCAAAGACUGGAGUCUAGUGGACCAUCUCAUCUUCAAGCCAGUUGGUUAAUUUGCCUUUAUUAAGCAUUUACUGUGUAUGAAGUAUUGUGCUAUUUCCCACUGGUGUAUUGUACCUCUAAUAUAAUAUUGGUUCCUAUCUUCUUAUAAAUAUCCUAAAUGUUGCCCCUGGAUCAGCUCUUGGCAGAGUCUACA
This 733-nucleotide long non-coding RNA is filed under the name Monodelphis domestica (gray short-tailed opossum). Its description in RNAcentral is "lncRNA (ENSMODG00000049305.1)". Lineage: Eukaryota; Metazoa; Chordata; Mammalia; Didelphimorphia; Didelphidae. The record is from RNAcentral.